GAUGAAGAACGUAGUGAAAUGCGAUAAGUAAUGUGUAUUGCAGAAUUCAGUGAAUCAUCGAAUCUUUGAACGCACAUUGCGCCCCCUGGUAUUCCGGGGGGCAUGCCUGUUCGAGCGUCAUUACAACCCUCAAGCUCUGCUUGGUAUUGGGCCCCGCCAGUUCUGGCGGGCCCUAAAGUCAGUGGCGGUGCCUUCCGGCUCCGAGCGUAGUAAUUCUUCUCGCUCUGGAGACCCGGUUGUGUGCUUGCCAACAACCCCCAAUUUUUUAAGGUUGACCUCGGAUCAGGUAGGGAUACCCGCUGAACUUAAGCAUAUCAAUAAGCGGAGGA
RNAcentral lists this unclassified non-coding RNA (329 nucleotides) under soil metagenome. RNAcentral describes it as "partial contains 5.8S ribosomal RNA, internal transcribed spacer 2, and large subunit ribosomal RNA". The stretch from base 1 to 120 matches the Rfam family "5.8S ribosomal RNA", at positions 35 to 154 of the family's 154-position model. The record is from RNAcentral.